AGGAGCCAGAGGGCUUCGAUCCCACAGUUUACUAGUUAACAGCUAGUACGCCUGACCAGUGGCACUGACCCC
This 72-nucleotide transfer RNA is filed under the name Ctenophorus scutulatus. Its description in RNAcentral is "tRNA-Asn". The record is from RNAcentral. Lineage: Eukaryota; Metazoa; Chordata; Lepidosauria; Squamata; Agamidae.